ACAAUGGGCGAAAGCCUGAUGCAGCAACGCCGCGUGAGGGAUGACGGCCUUCGGGUUGUAAACCUCUUUUAGUAGGGAAGAAGCGAAAGUGACGGUACCUGCAGAAAAAGCACCGGCUAAUUAU
This 124-nucleotide ribosomal RNA is filed under the name Microbacteriaceae bacterium. RNAcentral's name for it is "partial 16S ribosomal RNA". It matches the Rfam family "Bacterial small subunit ribosomal RNA", at positions 368 to 504 of the family's 1533-position model. Lineage: Bacteria; Bacillati; Actinomycetota; Actinomycetes; Micrococcales; Microbacteriaceae. The record is from RNAcentral.